Molecule: ribosomal RNA, 446 nt
Filed under: uncultured bacterium
Lineage: Bacteria
Description: partial 16S ribosomal RNA
Rfam family: Bacterial small subunit ribosomal RNA
Source: RNAcentral
CCCAGACUCCUACGGGAGGCAGCAGUGGGGGAUAUUGCACAAUGGGGGGAACCCUGAUGCAGCGACGCCGCGUGGGUGAAGGAGCGUUUCGGCGCGUAAAGCCCUAUCGGCAGGGAAGAAGGAGGACGGUACCUGACUAAGAAGCCCCGGCUAACUACGUGCCAGCAGCCGCGGUAAUACGUAGGGGGCAAGCGUUAUCCGGAUUUACUGGGUGUAAAGGGGGCGCAGACGGCAGCGCAAGCCAGGAGUGAAAGCCCGGGGCCCAACCCCGGGACUGCUCUUGGAACUGCGCGGCUGGAGUGCAGGAGGGGCAGGCGGAAUUCCUGGUGUAGCGGUGAAAUGCGUAGAUAUCAGGAGGAACACCGGUGGCGAAGGUGGCCUGCUGGACUGCGACUGACGUUGAGGCCCGAAAGCGUGGGGAGCAAACAGGAUUAGAUACCCUCGUA